CAGGUCCCAGGUGGAGGGACCACUGAGCCAGCCCGGGGCGGGGACUAGGCCUUGAGAGAGGGUCCGGGUGGCGUUUACAGGAGAAACCCCGCUGAGCCCUCGGGUCUGCCCCGUGAGAAUAGGUGAGACACAGGCCCUGCUGGCACCUGGGGUCGGACCUGCAGCCUCCAGAAGCCGAGAAAUAAAUGUCUUUUCUUGAGUCACCGCGUGCAUUGUAUUCUGUUACAGCGCCUGCCUGAAACGGUGUCAGUUGGGGAGAUGUGGCCUAGAGGACACACCCAGCGCUCGCUCCUUUCUGUGUCCUGUGUGUGCACGUAUGUGCGCGCCCUGUGCUCAGCGUCCAUCACUGGCGUGAUGUCAGCAUCAUCCAGGUCCAGCCACCAGGGGUUCGGGCCUCCCAAGGCCACUUUUCUGCAGACACUCACUUGGGGCUUCAGGGAAUACUGUUCCGCGGAUCGAGGCUCUGAUGUAAUUGGCCCAGGGCGUGCCCUCGGCACCGGAAUCGCAUAGAAGCACCCAGGUGACCAAUGUUCCGCCAGGACGGGAACAGCUGUGUCAGAACUCAAACACGCACUCCCCCCCCUUUUUCUUUAUUGGAUUUUUCUUUCUUUUUUCAGUUUAUUCAAAGCCUGAUCCUAUAAGGUUCGGGGUAAUAAUCUGUCCCCUUUGCCCUUGAGUUCUUGGCCUACUGUGUGUGGGGGAGGUGCAGGGAGAACUGACCUAGAAUCACAGGCCCCGGAUCCCGGGGCUGCCGGCCACCAAGGGGCUUUUCCAUCUUCUGCUCCGGGAGCUGUUCAGUCGCACCGGAGGGAGCCACACGCUGUAACAGGAGCUGAUCGUGCAUCUUUGCGAAUGUUAAACCGAUGGUAACUAAUUUAGAUGAGAAGAUGUAAAGAAAUAGAAGCAUUGGAACUUUUUAAUGCUUGACUCGCUGUCAAAACUCUCGUUUCUGUGGCUCUAACCCAAAGAGGAGAUGCUUGCCUCGGAUGACUUCCUGAGGGACCGGGAUGGCCACAGGUGUUUGCAGGAGGCCUCGGAAACGGCCGUUUUCAUAGACGUGAUCGUCAGCAGUUCACACGGGCGAGGCAACAGCAGCUGCUGCCCCCGUUGCACAGAUGAGAGAUCGAGCCUCAGAGCGGUGAGGGCACCAGGUCACAGACUGCGUGGUGGCACGUGGCCUCGUAUGGCGCUCUCCCAUCCUAUCUUCCUCGUUCACGUCUCCGGCCACACACACAGUCAUGUUCGCUCUGCUCUCAGCCUCUGGGAGCCUCAGGGUCCCUCCUUCAGCCCCUCCCCUUCCACAGGCAGAGGCAGGGCACAGCCUUACAGCAGGGGUUCCUUCCAGCCUGGCCGCCCUCCCCAAACCUAAGAACAGUGUCGUCUACUCCGCACGCUCAGCUUCACCUUCCAAAUGCCUUUGGCAGCUUUUUUCCGGACAGAGCAGAUUCUCCAUCCAGGGGCCUGUAACAGGGUUCGAAAUCCGUUUCCGACAAGCCGUUUGCUAGUAGUUACUGAAUCACAAAUCGCGGCUGGUUCUUGAGGGGAGCCCUUCCCUCAUGCGAGACCCCCCUUUUUCCUGGUGGCCUUUGGGGAUACAUUUCUGCAAAUGGGUGCCUCUCCCUGUUGUUGGGAAUCGAAGCUGGUAGAAACGUCAUUUUCUCAUAGACAGGUUGCUUUUCUUAAUAAAAAUAUUCUUUCUAAA
Molecule: long non-coding RNA, 1702 nt
Organism: Myotis brandtii (Brandt's bat)
Lineage: Eukaryota; Metazoa; Chordata; Mammalia; Chiroptera; Vespertilionidae
Exons: 2
Source: RefSeq, a predicted model, not a curated record